This 77-nucleotide transfer RNA is filed under the name Oscillospiraceae bacterium. RNAcentral describes it as "tRNA-Ile". It matches the Rfam family "tRNA". Rfam says of the family: Transfer RNA (tRNA) molecules are approximately 80 nucleotides in length. Lineage: Bacteria; Bacillati; Bacillota; Clostridia; Eubacteriales; Oscillospiraceae. The record is from RNAcentral.
GGGUUCAUAGCUCAGGUGGUUGGAGCGCGCGCCUGAUAAGCGCGAGGUCGGUGGUUCGAGUCCACUUGGACCCACCA